UACAGAGGGUGCGAGCGUUAAUCGGAAUUACUGGGCGUAAAGCGCGCGUAGGCGGCUUUGCAAGUCGGGUGUGAAAUCCCCAGGCUUAACCUGGGAACUGCAUUUGAGACUGCAUUGCUAGAGUAUGGGAGAGGGAAGUGGAAUUUCCGGUGUAGCGGUGAAAUGCGUAGAUAUCGGAAGGAACAUCGGUGGCGAAAGCGACUUCCUGGACCAAUACUGACGCUCAUGUGCGAAAGCGUGGGGAGCAAACAGG
This 253-nucleotide ribosomal RNA is filed under the name uncultured bacterium. RNAcentral's name for it is "partial 16S ribosomal RNA". It matches the Rfam family "Bacterial small subunit ribosomal RNA", at positions 524 to 776 of the family's 1533-position model. The record is from RNAcentral.